Non-coding RNA from Misgurnus anguillicaudatus (oriental weatherfish), 551 nucleotides. Lineage: Eukaryota; Metazoa; Chordata; Actinopteri; Cypriniformes; Cobitidae. The record is from RefSeq and is a predicted model, not a curated record.
CUAUUUCUAAUACAUCGGAGGUUUCUGAACACUUCUAUGUGAAUCCAUGUAAAUUCAAAUGUAAAACCUGUGGUGACGUUCUCCACAGGUGUUGACGGCGAUGACGUGAGAAAUAUGGAAAUUCGUGUUUUUUUCCCCUGUAAGGACAUUUUGCCCAUAUCCUACAGAUGCGGUUUUCCAGUCCUCAGGGUCCAGCGCGUAGAAAUCCCGUGUUUGUACAACAUGUUGUAUGAGAGGACUGCCAUGGUCGGAUCCCAGACACCAACGCAGCUUAACCGACGUGUCUCCGAUCUGUUCCACACGGACGCCACCCGGCUGCCCAGGCAAACCUGAAUCAACAACAUACAACACGAUGCAAUGCUUAAUAUUGGCAUGCAGCUCCACCAAGUUCCAUAAUUGUAACCUGACCCAGACACCAGACGACUCAGGGGCGGAUCCGCACCAGACCCGGGCAGAAGUCAGCAGCUCCCACACGAAUUCACUGCGGAUCUGAGUUAUCUGCUGUCUGGGGAUGUACGCAAGUCACAUAAAAUAAUAUUUGGAUAACACUC